This is a non-coding RNA of Nerophis lumbriciformis (worm pipefish), 435 nucleotides long. Lineage: Eukaryota; Metazoa; Chordata; Actinopteri; Syngnathiformes; Syngnathidae. The record is from RefSeq and is a predicted model, not a curated record.
UGUUGGCAGAGUGAGCUUGGAGGAAAAACUUUUAGUUGACCGUCAUUUAUGUCUUUUACAUAGAUUCAUUCCCGUCAUUUUGGCAUAUUGAGCAGUACCGCCAUUUCUGUCAUCUUUAUCAUUGUCAUCUUCAAUACUCUUGUCCUCAUGUGGAUUGGAAGUCAUAGACAUGGACCACUUGCACUGUUUUGGGCAACCAGAAAUCCAUCAUUGAGGACUCCAUAUGGAAGCGCUGAAAUCAACAACAUGGUGGAGACACAAUCGAAGGGGGCUUGCCUGGAGGAGGACUUUGACACAUGAAUAAGACGGCGCUGUUACGGUUGGGGGGGUCGCAGCUUGCUGCGUGGUUCGUUCCCCCGGGAUGCAAACGGACCGCUCAGGACAGGACUUGCAGAUAUGGUGGCUUGAAGGUGACAUCUGUCUGCGAGGUAGAGG